RNAcentral lists this transfer RNA (75 nucleotides) under Candidatus Saccharimonadota bacterium. RNAcentral's name for it is "tRNA-Arg". It matches the Rfam family "tRNA". From Rfam's summary of the family: Transfer RNA (tRNA) molecules are approximately 80 nucleotides in length. Their secondary structure includes four short double-helical elements and three loops (D, anti-codon, and T loops). Lineage: Bacteria; Candidatus Saccharimonadota. The record is from RNAcentral.
GCACCUGUAGUUCAACGGAUAGAACACUGGUUUCCGGAACCAGCAAUGUCGGUUCGAUUCCGGUCGGGUGUACCA